UACAGAGGGGGCAAGCGUUGUUCGGAUUUACUGGGCGUAAAGGGCGCGUAGGCGGUAGCACAAGUCAGUUGUGAAAUCUCCGGGCUUAACUCGGAAAGGUCAACUGAUACUGUGCGACUAGAGUGCAGAAGGGGCAACUGGAAUUCUCGGUGUAGCGGUGAAAUGCGUAGAUAUCGAGAGGAACACCUGCGGCGAAGGCGGGUUGCUGGGCUGACACUGACGCUGAGGCGCGAAAGCCAGGGGAGCGAACGGG
RNAcentral lists this ribosomal RNA (253 nucleotides) under uncultured bacterium. RNAcentral's name for it is "partial 16S ribosomal RNA". It matches the Rfam family "Bacterial small subunit ribosomal RNA", at positions 524 to 776 of the family's 1533-position model. The record is from RNAcentral.